Molecule: unclassified non-coding RNA, 240 nt
Filed under: soil metagenome
Description: partial contains 5.8S ribosomal RNA, internal transcribed spacer 2, and large subunit ribosomal RNA
Source: RNAcentral
AACGCACGAGACCUGCGGACCUGCGGAAGGAUCAUUACCGAGUUAGGGUCUUUUGGCCCGACCUCCAACCCUUUGUUUAUUAUACCAUGUUGCUUUGGUGGGCCUGCCUUUCGGGGCUGCCGGGGGCAUCACUGCCCCUGACUCGUGCCUGCCAGGAGCCUUCUUAAAUUCAGUGUUCAACGGUGCUGUCUGAGUCCCAGUAUCAAAAUAUCAAAAACUUUCAGCAACGGAUCUCUAGAU